This 478-nucleotide ribosomal RNA is filed under the name uncultured bacterium. RNAcentral describes it as "partial 16S ribosomal RNA". It matches the Rfam family "Bacterial small subunit ribosomal RNA", at positions 28 to 523 of the family's 1533-position model. The record is from RNAcentral.
GACGAACGCUGGCGGCGUGCUUAACACAUGCAAGUCGAACGGUAAGGCCCUUCGGGGUACACGAGUGGCGAACGGGUGAGUAACACGUGGGUGAUCUGCCCUGCACUUCGGGAUAAGCCUGGGAAACUGGGUCUAAUACCGGAUAGGACUCCUGCCUGCAUGGGUGGGGGUGGAAAGCUUUUGCGGUGUGGGAUGGGCCCGCGGCCUAUCAGCUUGUUGGUGGGGUGAUGGCCUACCAAGGCGACGACGGGUAGCCGGCCUGAGAGGGUGACCGGCCACACUGGGACUGAGAUACGGCCCAGACUCCUACGGGAGGCAGCAGUGGGGAAUAUUGCACAAUGGGCGCAAGCCUGAUGCAGCGACGCCGCGUGAGGGAUGACGGCCUUCGGGUUGUAAACCUCUUUCAGCACCGACGAAGCGCAAGUGACGGUAGGUGCAGAAGAAGGACCGGCCAACUACGUGCCAGCAGCCGCGGUAA